GCCCAGGUGGCGAAGUAGAAACGCGGCCGUCUGCAAAACGGCUACGCGCGGGUGCGACUCCCGCCCUGGGCUCCU
This 75-nucleotide transfer RNA is filed under the name Rubricoccus marinus. Its description in RNAcentral is "tRNA-Cys". It matches the Rfam family "tRNA". From Rfam's summary of the family: Transfer RNA (tRNA) molecules are approximately 80 nucleotides in length. Their secondary structure includes four short double-helical elements and three loops (D, anti-codon, and T loops). The record is from RNAcentral. Lineage: Bacteria; Pseudomonadati; Rhodothermota; Rhodothermia; Rhodothermales; Rubricoccaceae.